AUGAUACUUUCUGUUUUGUCGAGCCCUGCUUUGGUCUCUGCUUUGAUGGUUGUACGUGCUAAAAAUCCGGUACAUUCCGUUUUGUUUCCCAUCCUAGUCUUUUGCGACACUUCUGGUUUACUUAUUUUGUUAGGUCUCGACUUCUCCGCUAUGAUCUCCCCAGUAGUUCAUAUAGGAGCUAUUGCCGUUUCAUUCCUAUUCAUGGUUAUGAUGUUCAAUAUUCAAAUAGCGGAGAUUCACGAAGAAGUAUUGCGCUAUUUACCAGUGAGUGGUAUUAUUGGAGUGAUCUUUUGGUGGGAAAUGUUCUUCAUUUUAGAUAAUGAAACCACUCCAUUACUACCAACCCACAGAAAUACGACCUCUCUGAGAUAUACGGUUUAUGCCGGAAAGGACUAA
Molecule: ribosomal RNA, 396 nt
Filed under: Triticum aestivum (bread wheat)
Lineage: Eukaryota; Viridiplantae; Streptophyta; Magnoliopsida; Poales; Poaceae
Description: partial small subunit ribosomal RNA
Source: RNAcentral